Ceratotherium simum simum (southern white rhinoceros) is the source of this 110-nucleotide non-coding RNA. NCBI's taxonomy places the organism in Eukaryota, Metazoa, Chordata, Mammalia, Perissodactyla, Rhinocerotidae. The record is from RefSeq and is a predicted model, not a curated record.
GAUUUCGGUAUGUUGUGUUUUAAUUUUCAUUUGUCUCCAGGUAUUUUUUGAUUUCUCCUUUAAUUCCUUUAUUGAUCCAAUAGUUCUUCAGUAGCAUUUUGUUGAAUAUC